This 511-nucleotide ribosomal RNA is filed under the name uncultured bacterium. RNAcentral's name for it is "bacterial SSU rRNA". It matches the Rfam family "Bacterial small subunit ribosomal RNA", at positions 14 to 518 of the family's 1533-position model. The record is from RNAcentral.
CGAUUCUGGCUCAGGAUGAACGCUAGCGGCAGGCUUAACACAUGCAAGUCGAGGGGCAGCGCGAGUAGCAAUACUUGGCGGCGACCGGCGCAAGGGUGCGUAACGCGUGAGCAACAUGCCCGUAUCAGGGGGAUAAUCCAGGGAAACUUGGUCUAAUACCCCAUAGUAAUUUUGUAAGGCAUCUUAUAAGAUUUAAAGCUUUGGUGGAUACGGAUUGGCCCGCGUGACAUUAGCUGGAUGGUAAGGUAACGGCUUACCAUGGCUAUGAUGUCUAGGGGUUCUGAGAGGAAGGUCCCCCCACACUGGAACUGAGACACGGUCCAGACUCCUACGGGAGGCAGCAGUGAGGAAUAUUGGACAAUGGAUGGAAAUCUGAUCCAGCCAUGCCGCGUGAAGGAAAGAAGGUCCUAUGGAUUGUAAACUUCUUUUGUAUGGGAGCAAUAAGGCCUACGAGUAGGUUGAUGAGAGUACCAUACGAAUAAGCACCGGCUAACUCCGUGCCAGCAGCUGC